Molecule: long non-coding RNA, 373 nt
Filed under: Homo sapiens (human)
Lineage: Eukaryota; Metazoa; Chordata; Mammalia; Primates; Hominidae
Description: HSALNT0317925
Source: RNAcentral
GCACCACUGCACUCCAGCCUGGGCAACAGAGUGAGACUCCAUCUCAAAAAAAAAAGAAAAAAGAAAAAAGAAAUCGGAGUGACGUAUUUCGAAGAUGGGGGAAGAGCCACCAACUAAGGAAUGCCAGUGCGCCCAGUAGGCAGUGAGAAAGGCAGGGAAGCGACUCUAUCUCAGCAUCUCCAGAAGGAACCAACACCUUGUCUUCAGCGCAGUGAAGCUGAGUUUAGGCUUUGAGCUCUAAACGAGUUGGACAGGUUGGAUUAUUUGAAAACAGCCUGGGUUGUGAGAGGAAAAUGAGCAGGCCAGAGGAAUUUGGAGCUGCCAGCAUCUUGGAGGCUGGAGAGCAGGGUGCAAUCACAGCUCACUGCAGCCU